This 486-nucleotide ribosomal RNA is filed under the name uncultured bacterium. Its description in RNAcentral is "bacterial SSU rRNA". It matches the Rfam family "Bacterial small subunit ribosomal RNA", at positions 28 to 516 of the family's 1533-position model. The record is from RNAcentral.
GAUGAACGCUAGCGGAAGGCUUAAUACAUGCAAGUCGAGCGGUAGGUGGCUUCGGCCAUUGAGAGCGGCGCACGGGUGAGUAACGCGUACAUGACCUGCCUGUCAGAAGGGGAUAGCCCUGGGAAACUGGGAUUAAUACCCUAUGGUAUUGAUAUUAUGAAUGAUAUCAAUUAAAGUUGAGGCGCUGACAGAUGGAUGUGCGUCUGAUUAGCUAGUUGGUAGGGUAACGGCCUACCAAGGCGACGAUCAGUAGGGGGCGUGAGAGCGUGGUCCCCCACACGGGUACUGAGACACGGACCCGACUCCUACGGGAGGCAGCAGUAAGGAAUAUUGGUCAAUGCCCGCAAGGGUGAACCAGCCAUUCCGCGUGGAGGAUGAAGGCCCUAUGGGUUGUAAACUUCUUUUAGAUUGGGAAGAAAAUGCUAGAUGUAUCUGGUACUGACGGUACCAUCAGAAUAAGCACCGGCUAACUCCGUGCCAGCAGCC